UGAAAAUACCCUACAGAACUGGGGGUGCCGAUUGGCCAUGGAUAAUAAAAGUACGACGACAAGCAGUUAGCAUAAUGUAUAGUUCUACAGUGGAAAACGACAAUGUGGCUAACAAAGAGGAAGUGGAAAUUAUGACAGAAAAUCGACGUUAUGGAAAUAAUGACAGGGGAUUGCGGCCCUAAAAAAGAAGAUAAUUUAUUUGGUGUUAUGAUCGGUUCAAUAACUGAGGACCAGUCGAGAAAGGCCAAAAAAACGAUAUUUUAAAAACUCAAGUUGCCUUAAUGUUAUAAAGUAU
This is a long non-coding RNA of Drosophila sulfurigaster albostrigata, 295 nucleotides long. RefSeq lists it as uncharacterized. The record is from RefSeq and is a predicted model, not a curated record. NCBI's taxonomy places the organism in Eukaryota, Metazoa, Arthropoda, Insecta, Diptera, Drosophilidae. The transcript is spliced from 3 exons.